This 29-nucleotide non-coding RNA is filed under the name Rattus norvegicus (Norway rat). Lineage: Eukaryota; Metazoa; Chordata; Mammalia; Rodentia; Muridae. The record is from RNAcentral.
UNGAUACAGGUGUGCCAGAACUUCUUGUA